Molecule: long non-coding RNA, 576 nt
Filed under: Manihot esculenta (cassava)
Lineage: Eukaryota; Viridiplantae; Streptophyta; Magnoliopsida; Malpighiales; Euphorbiaceae
Description: long non-coding RNA (MESC_LNC001773)
Source: RNAcentral
UUAUGUCAAAUUUAGCAAGGACAUAUUUAAUUAAAUAAAUAAAGAAUUAGAGAAAAUAUAUAUAAAGGAAGAAAAUGUGUGAUCAAUAAAUAAAUUUAAAAAAAAAUUCUUAAAGUUUUGGAUAUAAAAUAAAAAUUUAAAUGAUUGAAUUACUAAAAAGAAAUUUUAAAAAAAGUUGGAGGACCAAAAUGCCAUUUUUUAAAAGGACAGCCAGGUACCUCUACCCAUGUGGCUGGGUUCCUUCUAGCCAUUAAAAAAAUAAAAAAAAAUAUAGAAGUUUUGGUAGUGAAAAAUAAAAAUUAAAAAGUUCAAGGACUAGAAUGAAAUUUAUUUAAAAAUGAAAACUUUCUUCCAGCUCUGUCACGUGGCAGUAGCUUCUCCAAAAAAAAAGAAGAAAAAAGAAAGAAAAGUGAAAAACAAUCUAGAAACCACUCAACCCAUCCCCAUCUCCAUCUUCCUCUUCUUCCUUUCUCCUUACCGUUGGAAGGAGAAAAUUCUCUACACCACCUUUAUAAUUCUCUACACCACCUUUACACCAAAUACCAUCUUUGCUCCUCCACAAAUAAAUAUUUACUU